Molecule: ribosomal RNA, 166 nt
Filed under: Fimbristylis complanata
Lineage: Eukaryota; Viridiplantae; Streptophyta; Magnoliopsida; Poales; Cyperaceae
Also listed under: 10 other names
Description: 5.8S ribosomal RNA
Rfam family: 5.8S ribosomal RNA
About the family: 5.8S ribosomal RNA (5.8S rRNA) is a component of the large subunit of the eukaryotic ribosome.
Source: RNAcentral
GAGAUGACUCCCGGCAACGGAUAUCUCGGCUCUCGCAUCGAUGAAGAACGUAGCGAAAUGCGAUACGUGGUGUGAAUUGCAGAAUCCCGUGAACCAUCGAGUCUUUGAACGCAAGUUGCGCCCGAGGGAUCAUCCUGAGGGCACGCCUGCCUCAUGGGCGUAAGAA